AAUAAGUACAGUUUUAAUACCGUUCAUGUCCAACGUUUGACCGUUUGUCUUAUUUGAAAAAAAAUUAUGAUUAAUAUUUUUAUUGUUAUUAGAUAAUAAAACAUCAAUAGCACUUUAUGUGUGACUAAUUUUUAAAAUAUUUUUCUUAAAUUUUUCAUAUAAAACGGAUGAUCAAAACGCUGGACACGGAUAGAUAUAGCUGCACUUAUU
Molecule: microRNA precursor, 210 nt
Organism: Oryza rufipogon (brownbeard rice)
Lineage: Eukaryota; Viridiplantae; Streptophyta; Magnoliopsida; Poales; Poaceae
Rfam family: MIR812 microRNA precursor family
Source: Rfam